ACUACAGGCACACACCCAAGGACAGCGUUGAGUGUGAAAGCUUGAAACACGAUUCUGUCACAAGGAAGCCUGAUGGCAUGCUGAACACCAGAUAGAUGACAGGGCAGAGAAGCCCACAGACCAGAGUGUCAGCCAUGAGUGAGCAAGAAGGCAGACACUUCCCAGGCACCUAAGUUAUACACAGGAGAGGGUAAGAAGAGUUAAAGAGAAAACCGAGAACAGGAUCUAUCUAUAAGGAGUGGCAGAAAGAGCAGGAAGGAGAACAGUGCUAAAGACGUACCCUUGGGACAGAUUGCCUGAGGCUAUUUUGACAAGAAAUAGAGACUCAGUUGACUGACUCCACCUUUCCAGAAAAAGGAGCCAAAGGAGCACUGGGUGGUACACGCUACCUUCUCAUCUCAUUGGUGGAUCUUACUCAAAUGCUUUGAUCUUCGAGACUUCGGGUCAAGUAAUAGAUGAGAAAAAUAAAAAGGGAAAUAAUUGGCACAUAUGUUCAAAAUUCCAUAUUUAAAUUGUUCAUAAUUUGAUUAUUUUUACUGUUUCUACUAGUCUUCAGAAGAGUAGCUAAAUGCAAAUGCAAGUGUUUAAAGGCAUUGCAAAAUGUACAGAAAAAUCUGAGUAAAAUUCCAAGAAUAUAUAUGUAUAUGCAACAUCUAAAUUACAAUUUAAGGGCCUUUCCAAGAACAUUUGCUUAAUAAACAGGAACAGAAGUGAAAAUUUUUGCAAUGCUAAUCAUUACACUACUUUCUCUUUCCAAAGCUUACAGGAUGCUAGGAUAUGUUACAGGUGUUCAUUUGGAAAAGAAAUAGUCUUUAACAUCUAUUUCAUGAGAAGAAUGAAAGGUUAAAGAAAACCAAAGUGUAUGAUUCAGAAAAGGGUGUUCCCAAAUAUUGUAAAUAAUAAUGACUAUUUGUGUAGUGAUGCAAAGAAAACAUAGAUCUUUAAAAGAAACAAAGAUCUUCACAACCUUAGUCCAGGAAAUGGGUUGGGAUUAUUGCAUGCAUCAUUUAAAAAAUAAAAUAUGGACAGGCACGGUUUUGACCAAGAUUGCUUAAACUACUCUUUCAUUAAGAAAGAGGGUAUUAUAAUAGAAGUCCUUAUUCCUAAAGUAUUUACACUAAUAGACUAGAAAAUUUUCAAGUGAUAUCCUGGCAGAACUGGCCUUGGGUCAGUUUCACAGAAUGUAGAGGUCAGGCAGGAAUUCAGGAAUGCAGAGAGAUUACAUUUCUUCCACCUUUGGACGAUAGGUACAGCCUUCAGUUCCUUCAGUUUCUGUCCUGAAUCCCUUUAUUUUUUUAAUAUAGAGGCAGAUUUCUGUCAGUUCCACAGUAACUAGCUCAGAAAGUUAGAAAACAAUCACCAGUGGUUCAGGAUGAGUAAUAAAAAAACUCAUCCUGAACUCAGCUGAAAAAUGCUGGACGUUGCCAAGAAAAGUGAAUGAAAGUCUCUCCUUGAUCAAAACAUUUAUCACAGAUCUGUGCCUAUUUGUUGUUGCAAUUCUUUCAUGCUGAACCCAUAGAUGUGCCCAAUAAAUUCUGACCCUUUGUAAUAUGAGUCAUGAAAAAAAUCAAAAGGUGGACAUAAUGUUGUGGUUUGGCAACUAUGCUCUCCGUCCCUAAAAUCUUGUGUAGGUAGAUGGUUGGAAAGCAUUGGUUUCUUUACUCUGAUUGUUUGGGAAGCAUGUGCCUAGCAGCUGAAUUACUUAUGUGAGCCCACACUUCGAAUCAGUUGUCACUCAAGAACAGAACUCUGGGAUCCUGGCUGCAGUGUAACAGGGUUGCACAAGGCUUGUAUAAAAUUCAACUCUGUGGAGCAAAUGUAUUGUAAAUACAAGCAAAUCAUUACUUAAAUCUUGUCAAUGUUGUUUUCCCUUCAAAGGCAGUAGACUAUGCCAAGCUUUAUUAAAAAUGAGAGCUGAAAUAAAGAGAUUAUUUAGGCAGAUAACCCAUUUGCCAUAGCCAAGCUGAAGCACUAUCAUUUACAGCAUAACUGGAAGUAUCUUUAACUUCUGUGGUCAGUUUUUAAGAAUAUUUUAUAAACUUACAGGUAUUUUAUUUGGGGGAAUCAGGAAAUGUGGGCUAAGCUUUACCUUAAUAUUUGGGAUGAAGACAAAAUUGGUUCAAGCUCUCUAGAAGAUGCUGUGUUUCUUAUUGUUUGAAACUUUGAAAUAUGAAUGGCACUUUAAAUUGAGUGGGGGUAUGCCUUCUUUGGUGCCAUUAAAGUAGCUUAAACUGAUACUGAAUAAAAAACUAGCCCAUUUAUUUAUUUUUAAUUUUUUUCUUAUAUGUUCCUUUUUCUUCCCCCUCUCCAUCCCAUUCUUCUUCUUUCCCUCCUUCCUUUUUUCUUCUUUCCCUCCUUCCCUUCCUUCCUUUUCUCCAUCUUUUCCUCCUUGCUUUUCUCCUACCCUCCCUCCUCCUUGUUUUCCCUUUCCCCAUUUCUUCAUGUUCUCUCCUUCUUUCUUUCUCUCUCUCUCAUUCUCUCCUGAUGCUGUCAUUAUUAAAUAUUGGUGAAGUAGAAAGAGAACAGAAUUUUUGUCAUGUCAAUGUGAUCCCUAGCAAUGAUUAAGUUGUAUUCUGGAUUCCACUCACCUCUGCUUUCCAUCCUUGGAGCAUGUGGGAAGGGUUGCAACUCAGGAAACAGAACUGGUUAAUUUUACCAGGCAGGUGAGUUUGUAGGGUUUUAAGAAACAAGACAGACUUAUUUGAUUUUGUACUUUUUAUAUUAUUGAUUUUGAUUUCUAAAGGAAAAACAAUUAAUUUAUUUACUUGAUUUUAAUUAUAUAAUAAUUCUUUUACAAAAUAAUAACAAUAUUAUUAUUAAUAAUACAAUUCUGACUGUAGCUUAAGUUUUCAUGUUUUAUUUUGUUUUUAUUUUGAGUUCUUUUUUGUCCUUGCAUUGUAUGCCACUGAGAAGGCACAGUGAAAUUACUCUGUUGUAUAAGUUAUUUGAAAUAACUCUUUUGUGCGAUUAAGCCACCAUUGUAAUCUACACUUAGGUUCAUUUAUUCCAUUUUUGUUUUAGUUUUUAGGUACUGAUUUGCAAAAUUAUGUAUAAUUAUAUAAAACAUUUGCAUAGUUCCAAAACUACAUCUACAAAGUAUAGUGUAGACAAAGAAGCUUAGCUUAACUUUUUGACCUUUCCCUUUUCUCUCUUUCCAAUUACUGGUAGCUUUUAAAAUAGACAUUGGCUUAAUUUUUUAUUUUUGGUCAUUUGUUAAUUUAUAAAAAAACUGCCAGAAAACAAAAUUACUUAAAAAUAACAAUAAUCAGGUCUUCCGCCAAGAUGGAGGUGUAGGUGGAACCACCUUGCUUCCGUGCACAACCAAAUCUAAGAACAACUAUUUUUAACAAUAAUAAACACAACCAAGCCACACAGAAAAUCGACAAUAUGGAGUCCAAAGACAACGAAAUGCUCAGCUAAACCGGUAAGAGGAGCGAAGCCAGCAGUGGAGCAGGUUGGCAAAAAAAAUCCCCCAACGGGUGGUGCGCAAGCAGCCGAAGGCGCGGAUCGCGGUAUAGCUAUGGGAGCACACAGGGAAGAGGCGCGGCUGGCUGUCUGCGGUAGGUCGCACAUCUGCAUGCGGAUAAACCAGUGAAGAGGCGAGCAGGGUCGGGGCAGCAGGCUCGCACAAUUCCGAUCCGAUAAACAGGCCGGGGCGAGUGGUGGGACUGGACAGACUGGGCUAGCGGAGAGGACCACCAUUGCUCCCUCUCUGACCACGCCCCCACACACAGUGUCACAAACCAGCGACCUGGGUCGCCCCGUCCUGGUAAACAACUAAGGCUUCGCUCCGCUUACUUAACGGUGCGAACAGACCAAAAAUGGCUCAAGAACAACUCAGAGCCCCAGAGCCCAUCAAUCUAAGCCAUGAAGAAAUAGCCAAACUUUCAGAUGCACAGUUCAAAACACUGGUUAUCAGGAUCCUCACAGAACUGGUUGAUUUUAGUCACAAAUUAGAGAAACAUAUGGAAGCUAAACUAAUUGAAAUGAAUGGUAAUGCAAAGGAAACCAAUAAUAAUGGAAAGGAGAUUAGGACUCAAAUCAAUGGAGUGGACCAGAAGGAAGAAAAAAAUGAUUGAACAGAAAAGAAUGAAGAAACAAGAAUUCAAAAAAAUGAAUGAGGAGAAGCUUAGGAACCUUCAGGACAUCUUUAAACGUUCCAACAUUCGAAUUAUAGGGGUACCAGAAGGGGAAGAGGAACAGCCACCAGUGGAAAACUUAUUUGAACAAAUAAUAAAAGAGAACUUCCCCAUUCUGGCAGAGGAAAUAGACUUCCAGGAAAUCCAGGAAGCUCAGAGAGUCCUAAAGAAGUUGGACCCAAGAAGAAACACACCAAGACACAUCAUCAUUACAUUAGCCAAGAUUAAAAUGAAGGAGAGAAUCCUAGAAGCAGCAAGAGCUAAGGGGACAGUCACCUACAAAGGAGUUCCCAUCAGACUGUCAGCUGAUUUCUCAAAAGAGACCUUACAGGCAAGAAGGAGCUGGAAAGAAGUAUUCCAAGUCAUGAAAACCAAAGACCUACAACCAAGAUUGCUCUAUCCAGCAAAGUUUUCAUUUAGAAUGGAAGGACAGAUAAAGUGCUUCUCAGAUAAGACCAAAUUCAAGGAGUUCAUCAUCACUAAGCCCUUAUUAUAUGAAAUGUUAAAGGGACUUACCUAAGAAAAAGAAGAUAAAAAAGAUGAACAGUGAAAGGACAGCAAACUCACAGUUAGUAACAACCACACCUAAAACAAGAGCAAACUAACAGGACAGCUAGAUCAGGAGCAGAACUAUAGAAAUGAAGAUCUCAUGGAGGGUUAGCAACAGGGGAGUGGGAGGAGGAGAAGGGGGGAGAAGGUACAGAAAAUAAGUAGCAUAGACAGUAGAUAGAAAAUAGAUAGGGGGAGGGUAAGAAUAGUAGGGGAAAUACAGAAUCUAA
Artibeus jamaicensis (Jamaican fruit-eating bat) is the source of this 4918-nucleotide long non-coding RNA. RefSeq lists it as uncharacterized. The record is from RefSeq and is a predicted model, not a curated record. The transcript is spliced from 4 exons. NCBI's taxonomy places the organism in Eukaryota, Metazoa, Chordata, Mammalia, Chiroptera, Phyllostomidae.